This 180-nucleotide microRNA precursor is filed under the name Hordeum vulgare. RNAcentral describes it as "microRNA MIR408". It matches the Rfam family "MIR408 microRNA precursor family". Lineage: Eukaryota; Viridiplantae; Streptophyta; Magnoliopsida; Poales; Poaceae. RNAcentral also lists the same sequence under 1 other name. The record is from RNAcentral.
GACUGGGGAGGGGAGAGGAGACAGGGAUGGAGCAGAGCAAGGGAUGGGGCAAGCAACAAACUAUCACCCCCUUAUCAUGAGAAGAUCGAGAGAGUUGUGAGAGACCAGGGAUCCCUGUCGUCGUUGUUGUUCCUCCCUCCCUGCACUGCCUCUUCCCUGGCUCCCCUCCCAUCCCUCUCC